CCGGUGAAGUGUUCGGAUUGCGGCGACGUGGGCGGUUCGCUGCCCGCGACGUUGUGAGAAGUCCACUGAACCUUAUCAUUUAGAGGAAGGAGAAGUCGUAACAAGGUUUUCCGUAGGUGAACCUGCGGAAGGAUCAUUG
RNAcentral lists this ribosomal RNA (139 nucleotides) under Astragalus tribuloides. RNAcentral describes it as "partial 18S ribosomal RNA". It matches the Rfam family "Eukaryotic small subunit ribosomal RNA", at positions 1698 to 1831 of the family's 1831-position model. The record is from RNAcentral. Lineage: Eukaryota; Viridiplantae; Streptophyta; Magnoliopsida; Fabales; Fabaceae.